This 759-nucleotide long non-coding RNA is filed under the name Rhinopithecus bieti (black snub-nosed monkey). Its description in RNAcentral is "lncRNA (ENSRBIG00000046035.1)". The record is from RNAcentral. Lineage: Eukaryota; Metazoa; Chordata; Mammalia; Primates; Cercopithecidae.
CUGGCCUAAGGAGCUGUGGGUUUGAUGCCUCUUCCCUGCCUCCUGCAUUCAAAAGGAGUAUAUGUUACCUAGGUAUCACCUGGCCACUUGUGACCCUAACAGAAGCAAUGAAUAAAUCUGGAAGCAAAAACAAACAGAGAAACCAGAGAAGAAGAUCCAGGUCUCAGGAGCCCUCGGGGAAGGUUUGGUGGCUGCAGAAAAGGACUUUCUCUGAGAAUCCAGAAGUGACAUCAGGGAAGAACCUCAAAGGAUCCAUGGUCCCCCAACACAGCAAGUCAGUGCAGCUCCUAGAAUCCCUUCCUUCAGGGAGGCCCAGAGAAAUAAAGUGUUAAGAGGCCUUACCCUCAGGCGACAUCUUCUUUCAGCCUCUGUGGCUACAGUAUGUACAGUGUGCUGAGUGGGGAAGGACCUCUCUCCCUGUUAAAUCUGUAGUGCGACCACAUGGAAGGCAUCUGAGGACCUAGAGCAAGGAGACGUGGCUAUCCUGCCCCACUGUGGUCCCAAUCUAGGUACUGAAUCAGCAUCUUCCAAGGAUUUUAAAAUAGAAACCCCAGUUUCCAGCCCACACCAAUGAAUCAGAAUCUCUCAGGAAGGGGCUCAGGGAAGCUGUGUUUUUAAAAACUCCAAGUACCUUACCUUCUCACCAUCAUGAAAAUAGAAAUGAACGAAAUUAAUGAGGCAAAAAUUUCCAGGCACUGGACCAGGGGCACAGUGCAGAACUGUGAUCUCUGAGAGGAGGACAACACUUAAGGGAGGGAG